GACGAACGCUGGCGGCGUGCUUAGCACAUGCAAGUCGAACGGAAAGGCCCUGCUUGCAGGGUACUCGAGUGGCGAACGGGUGAGUAACACGUGGGUGAUCUGCCCUGCACUUCGGGAUAAGCUUGGAAACUGGGUCUAAUACCGGAUAGGAGCCAUCUUUAGUGUGGUGGUUGGAAAGUUUUUUCGGUGUAGGAUGAGCUCGCGGCCUAUCAGCUUGUUGGUGGGGUAAUGGCCUACCAAGGCGGCGACGGGUAGCCGGCCUGAGAGGGUGUACGGCCACAUUGGGACUGAGAUACGGCCCAGACUCCUACGGGAGGCAGCAGUGGGGAAUAUUGCACAAUGGGCGCAAGCCCGAUGCAGCGACGCCGCGUGGGGGAUGAAGGCCUUCGGGUUGUAAACUCCUUUCGCUAGGGACGAAGCUUUGUUGUGACGGUACCUAGAGAAGAAGCACCGGCUAACUACGUG
Molecule: ribosomal RNA, 465 nt
Filed under: uncultured bacterium
Lineage: Bacteria
Description: partial 16S ribosomal RNA
Rfam family: Bacterial small subunit ribosomal RNA
Source: RNAcentral